UGUACUUCGGUAUGCAUCUCAAUUGGACCUGAUAUCAGGCAAGAUUACCGCUGAACCUUAAGCAUAUUAAUAAGCGGAGGAAAAGAAACUAACAAUGGUAUUCCCCUAGUAACGGCGAGUGAAGCGGGAAGAGCUCAAGCUUAAAAUCUCCGUGCAAGUUUUGCGCGGCGAAUUGUAGUCUAUAGAGGCGUGAUCAGUGUGGGCGCUUGGGGCAAGUUCCUUGGAAGAGGACAGCAUGGAGGGUGAUACUCCCGUUCAUCCCUGAGUUGCUCGUGCGUACGAUCCGUUUUCUUUGAGUCGCGUUGUUUGGGAAUGCAGCGCAAAGUAGGUGGUAAAUUCCAUCUAAAGCUAAAUAUUGGUGCGAGACCGAUAGCGAACAAGUACCGUGAGGGAAAGAUGAAAAGAACUUUGAAAAGAGAGUUAAAGAGUACCUGAAACUGCUGAAAGGGAACCGAAUCGUUUCCAGUGUCUAUAAUCCGUGGUAUAUUUCAUUGGCGAGUGUGUGCGUGCGUGUGCUGUGGCAGCGGCUUUUUUGGCUGCGCUCGGCGUGUGUGCUGUGUGUGCUUGCUGGUGCCCUGUGCUGCGGUGGGACGUCAAGGUCAGUUCGUAUGCUGCGGGAAAUGGCCGCCGAGGAGGUAGGGCUUACGCUUGCGUUUGUCUGUUAUAUCUUGGUGGACGAGUAGUCGCGGUUGGGACUGAGGUGCCUACAACGUGUUUUUGAGUGGGCCUGUGUCUCUGUGUGCGCCGUGUGCGGAUAGCUUGCUAUGCGUGUGUGGUUGUGUGUGGAUUGAUGUGGGUUUUAACUUGUUGCCGUUCGGGACGUUGACGAAAUGGAGCGAUUUGACCGGUCUUGAAAACACGGACCCAAGGGAGUUCUAAACAUGUGUGCAAAGUUGUAAGGGUGUGGGAAACCCCAGCGCGAAAUGAAAAGUGAAGGGCAGCGUAAGUUGUCUGAGGUAGGAAAUGCUGCGGGCUUCGGUCUGCGGUGUGGCACUAUCGACCGAUCAUGAACCUUCGUGGUGAAAGAUUUGAGUUUGAGCACAUAUGUUGGUACCCGAAAGAUGGUGAACUAUGCCUGAGUAGGGUGAAGCCAGGGGAAACUCUGGUGGAAGCUCGUAGCGAUUCUGACGUGCAAAUCGAUCGUCAAACUUGGGUAUAGGGGCGAAAGACUAAUCGAACCAUCUAGUAGCUGGUUCCCUCCGAAAUUUCCCUCAGGAUAGCAGCAACUUAUUUACGAUAGUUUUAUGAGGUAAAGCGAAUGAUUAGAGGAUUCGGGGAAGAAACUUCCUCGACCUAUUCUCAAACUUUAAAUCUGUAAGACCUGCAGGUUUCUUAAUUGAACUUGUGGAUGUGAAUAUCAAGUUGCUAGUGGGCCAUACGGGGUAAGCUCGUCUGGCGAUGCGGGAUGAACCGAACGCAAAGUUAAAGUGCCAAAAUGCUCGCUCACCUAGAUACCAUAAAAGGUGUUGGUUCAUUUAGACAGCAGGACGGUGGCCAUGGAAGUCGGAAUCCGCUAAGGAGUGUGUAACAACUCACCUGCCGAAUGAACUAGCCCUGAAAAUGGAUGGCGCUAAAGCGGGCUACUUAUACUUUGCCGUUAGCGCGAUAGCAUUUAUAAUGUACGCGUUAAUGAGUAGGAGGGCGUGAAGGUCGUGAAGAAGCUCGUGGCGUGAGCCUGAGUGAAACGGCCUUUAGUGCAGAUCUUGGUGGUAGUAGCACAUAUAUUUCAAAUGCCAACUUUGAAGACUGAAGUGGGAAAAAAGGUUUCCCGUGUGAAUCGUAAAUGGGAAAACGCGGGAGAUCCAAUCCUAAAAAAUAGGAUAAUUUCCGUUUGAAAGCUGGGCUGUUUGAGGCGUGGGGUUCGUCCUUGCGUUUUGUAUGCAGCCUCGUGUAUCGAAAGGGAAUCAGGUUAAUAUUCCUGAACCGAGACGUGGAUAAUAUGUGGUAACACAACCGACCCAGGAGACGCUAGCGUGUGCCCAGGGAAGAGUUCUCUUUUCUUUUUAACAAGCAUAUCCUACCUUGGAAACGGAUUAUCCGGCGAUAAGGAGGAUGCCUUGGCAAAGCACUUUACUUUUUGAAGUGUCCUGCGCGCCCACGACAGCCCUUGAAAAUCCUGGCUAGAGAUUUAUUCGCACCCUCGUUCGUACUCAUAACCGCAUCAGUCUCCAAGGUUAGCAGCCUCUAGUUGAUAGAAGAAUGUAGAAUAAGGGAGUCGGCAAAUAGAUCCGUAACUUCGGGAAAAGGAUUGGCUCUGAGGUUGGGCCUAGGGUCUUUUUGGAGAACUGUGGCGGCUACGUUGGGCUGCGUCUGGACCUUUCGGGGACCGGAUGCGGCCUGGCGUCGGGCUGCUCUGUGUGUGUGCGGGAGAGAAGGAUGAGUUGGCUUUCGGGCUGG
This 2397-nucleotide ribosomal RNA is filed under the name Phytophthora infestans T30-4. RNAcentral describes it as "28S ribosomal RNA". It matches the Rfam family "Eukaryotic large subunit ribosomal RNA", at positions 1 to 2098 of the family's 3401-position model. The record is from RNAcentral. Lineage: Eukaryota; Oomycota; Peronosporomycetes; Peronosporales; Peronosporaceae.